UACGUAUGGUGCAAGCGUUAUCCGGAAUGACUGGGUGUAAAGGGAGCGUAGACGGUUGUUCAAGUCUGAUGUGAAGGCCCUCGGCUUAACUGGGGGAGUGCAUUGGAAACUGAAGGACUAGAGUAUCGGAGAGGCAAGUGGAAUUCCUAGUGUAGCGGUGAAAUGCGUAGAUAUUAGGAGGAACACCAGUGGCGAAGGCGGCUUGCUGGACGAAAACUGACGUUGAGGCUCGAAAGCGUGGGGAGCAAACAGG
RNAcentral lists this ribosomal RNA (253 nucleotides) under uncultured bacterium. RNAcentral describes it as "partial 16S ribosomal RNA". It matches the Rfam family "Bacterial small subunit ribosomal RNA", at positions 524 to 776 of the family's 1533-position model. The record is from RNAcentral.